Molecule: long non-coding RNA, 820 nt
Organism: Helianthus annuus (common sunflower)
Lineage: Eukaryota; Viridiplantae; Streptophyta; Magnoliopsida; Asterales; Asteraceae
Exons: 3
Source: RefSeq, a predicted model, not a curated record
AAAAGUAGUUAAAGUAAAGGGUGUCCAAACCCUAGCCGCUUACAAACUCGGUGACGCACACAGACCCAUCUUCCUCACUACUGCUCCUUCUUCAAUAGAUAAACCCUAAACAUCCUCACCUCUCAUAACCUUAACUCCUCUGCUUAACAACAACAAAAAAAAAAGACAUCACCCUUUCACUCUCUCGUGAUGCUCUGGACCGGCGAGCCGACAGGCCACACACACUCCCCUCCACCGCCGAUUCACCUCCCUCAUAACUCUGUGAUUCCGACCUGUAACAGUGGUGAUGACGAGACACACAUGACACAGCCAAACAACCCCAUCCCCCCUCGUUUUAUACCUGCUACAUAAAAGGCUCGCGAGCCCUCUGCCCUUUUCUGAGCUCCGGCGACCGGAGCUGUGUCUCCGAUUGGCGGCGUUUGGCGGCUGCAACAACGACGGACGAAGGUGAGCGUCGGCGGCAGCGACGUCUGGUUCCGACGACUGCCCGUCUGCGGCGGUGGGCGACACGAUUAGUGGUGGUGAUGGUUACUUUUGGUGUCCUGGUCAAAUAGUGGUUCGGUUCACACUGUUCAGUUCGUUUCAAAUUCAGCUCGGGUCAUGUCCCGGUACAGUUCAGAUUUCGCGUCAUGCUCGGCUCGGGUUUUGGUUUUGUUACAGUGCGGGUCAGAUUCAGUGUGCGAGUCAACUCAGAUUCAAAGGGUGACCUUGGUGUUCCAUCCUCCCAAACUAGCACACUCGUCAACACUUGGAUAAUCGGAAGACUUAGCGAUUCUGUUGAGGAUGAUGAUGCUAAGAAAUGAAGUAGCGUUGAUGCCUA